CGCGAUUGGAUGAACCUAGGUGGGAUUAGCUAGUUGGUGAGGUAAUGGCUCACCUAGGCGACGAUCCCUAGCUGUUCUGAGAGGAUGAUCAGCCACACUGGGACUGAGACACGGCCCAGACUCCUACGGGAGGCAGCAGUGGGGAAUAUUGCACAAUGGGGGAAACCCUGAUGCAGCCAUGCCGCGUGUGUGAAGAAGGCCUUCGGGUUGUAAAGCACUUUCAGUAAGGAGGAAAGGGUGUAGGUUAAUACGCUAUAUCUGUGACGUUACCUACAGAAGAAGGACCGGCUAACUCCGUGCCAGCAGCCGCGGUAAUACGAAGGGUGCGAGCGUUAAUCGGAAUUACUGGGCGUAAAGCGUGCGCAGGCGGUUUGUUAAGCGAGAUGUGAAAGCCCUGGGCUCAACCUAGGAAUAGCAUUUCGAACUGGCGAACUAGAGUCUUGUAGAGGGGGGUAGAAUUCCAGGUGUAGCGGUGAAAUGCGUAGAGAUCUGGAGGAAUACCGGUGGCGAAGGCGGCCCCCUGGACAAAGACUGACGCUCAUGCACGAAAGCGUGGGGAGCAAGCAGGAUUAGAUACCCUGGUAGUCCACGCCGUAAACGAUGUCUACUCGGAAUUUGGUGCCUU
RNAcentral lists this ribosomal RNA (625 nucleotides) under uncultured bacterium. Its description in RNAcentral is "bacterial SSU rRNA". It matches the Rfam family "Bacterial small subunit ribosomal RNA", at positions 216 to 833 of the family's 1533-position model. The record is from RNAcentral.